AGGAACUGAUGUUCAAUAGCCGUCUUAGCUCAGCGGUAGAGCGCGUGGCUUU
Molecule: small RNA, 52 nt
Filed under: Arabidopsis thaliana (thale cress)
Lineage: Eukaryota; Viridiplantae; Streptophyta; Magnoliopsida; Brassicales; Brassicaceae
Description: ATSL133800
Source: RNAcentral